UACGUAGGUGGCAAGCGUUGUCCGGAAUUAUUGGGCGUAAAGAGCGCGUAGGCGGGAUAACAAGUCUAUCUUAAAAGUGCGGGGCUCAACCCCGUGAGGGGAUAGAAACUGUUAUUCUUGAGUGCAGGAGAGGGAAGUGGAAUUCCCAGUGUAGCGGUGAAAUGCGUAGAUAUUGGGAGGAACACCAGUGGCGAAGGCGGCUUUCUGGACUGUGUCUGACGCUGAGGCGCGAAAGCCAGGGGAGCGAACGGG
This 252-nucleotide ribosomal RNA is filed under the name uncultured bacterium. Its description in RNAcentral is "partial 16S ribosomal RNA". It matches the Rfam family "Bacterial small subunit ribosomal RNA", at positions 524 to 776 of the family's 1533-position model. The record is from RNAcentral.